GAGUUUGAUCCUGGCUCAGGACGAACGCUGGCGGCGUGCCUAAUACAUGCAAGUCGAACGCACGAAGUUGAAGAGCUUGCUCUUUAACCAAGUGAGUGGCGGACGGGUGAGUAACACGUGGGUAACCUGCCCAUUAGAGGGGGAUAACAUUCGGAAACGGAUGCUAAUACCGCAUAGUUUCAGGAAUCGCAUGAUUCUUGAAGGAAAGGUGGCUUCGGCUACCACUAAUGGAUGGACCCGCGGCGUAUUAGCUAGUUGGUGAGGUAAUGGCUCACCAAGGCAAUGAUACGUAGCCGACCUGAGAGGGUGAUCGGCCACACUGGGACUGAGACACGGCCCAGACUCCUACGGGAGGCAGCAGUAGGGAAUCUUCCGCAAUGGACGAAAGUCUGACGGAGCAACGCCGCGUGAGUGAAGAAGGUUUUCGGAUCGUAAAACUCUGUUGUUAAAGAAGAACAAGGAUGAGAGUAACUGCUCAUCCCCUGACGGUAUUUAACCAGAAAGCCACGGCUAACUACGUGCCAGCAGCCGCGGUAAUACGUAGGUGGCAAGCGUUGUCCGGAUUUAUUGGGCGUAAAGCGAGCGCAGGCGGUUCUUUAAGUCUGAUGUGAAAGCCCCCGGCUCAACCGGGGAGGGUCAUUGGAAACUGGAGAACUUGAGUGCAGAAGAGGAGAGUGGAAUUCCACGUGUAGCGGUGAAAUGCGUAGAUAUGUGGAGGAACACCAGUGGCGAAGGCGACUCUCUGGUCUGUAACUGACGCUGAGGCUCGAAAGCGUGGGGAGCA
Molecule: ribosomal RNA, 784 nt
Filed under: uncultured bacterium
Lineage: Bacteria
Description: bacterial SSU rRNA
Rfam family: Bacterial small subunit ribosomal RNA
Source: RNAcentral